CCUACGGGGGGCAGCAGUGGGGAAUAUUGGGCAAUGGGCGCAAGCCUGACCCAGCAAUGCCGCGUGAAGGAAGAAGGCUUUCGGGUUGUAAACCUCUUUUGUCAGGGACGAAGCAAGUGACGGUACCUGACGAAUAAGCCACGGCUAACUACGUGCCAGCAGUCGCGGUAAUACGUCGGUGGCAAGCGUUAUCCGGAUUUAUUGGGUGUAAAGGGUGUGUAGGCGGGAAUGCAAGUAAGAGGUGAAAACUCUGGGCUCAACCCAUAGCCUGCAUUUGAAACUGUAUUUCUUGAGUGCUGGAGAGGCAGUCGGAAUGCCGUGUGUAGCGGUGAAAUGCGUAGAUAUAC
This 347-nucleotide ribosomal RNA is filed under the name uncultured bacterium. RNAcentral's name for it is "partial 16S ribosomal RNA". It matches the Rfam family "Bacterial small subunit ribosomal RNA", at positions 338 to 699 of the family's 1533-position model. The record is from RNAcentral.